RNAcentral lists this ribosomal RNA (253 nucleotides) under uncultured bacterium. Its description in RNAcentral is "partial 16S ribosomal RNA". It matches the Rfam family "Bacterial small subunit ribosomal RNA", at positions 524 to 776 of the family's 1533-position model. The record is from RNAcentral.
UACGGAGGGUGCAAGCGUUAUCCGGAUUCACUGGGUUUAAAGGGUGCGUAGGCGGGCAGGUAAGUCAGUGGUGAAAUCCCCGAGCUUAACUUGGGAACUGCCGUUGAUACUAUCUGUCUUGAAUACCGUGGAGGUGAGCGGAAUAUGUCAUGUAGCGGUGAAAUGCUUAGAUAUGACAUAGAACACCAAUUGCGAAGGCAGCUCGCUACACGAAUAUUGACUCUGAGGCACGAAAGCGUGGGGAUCAAACAGG